This 447-nucleotide ribosomal RNA is filed under the name uncultured bacterium. RNAcentral's name for it is "bacterial SSU rRNA". It matches the Rfam family "Bacterial small subunit ribosomal RNA", at positions 330 to 794 of the family's 1533-position model. The record is from RNAcentral.
CCCAGACUCCUACGGGAGGCAGCAGUGGGGGAUAUUGCACAAUGGGGGAAACCCUGAUGCAGCGACGCCGCGUGGAGGAAGAAGGUCUUCGGAUUGUAAACUCCUGUCCGAGGGGACGAUAAUGACGGUACCCUUGGAGGAAGCCCCGGCUAACUACGUGCCAGCAGCCGCGGUAAUACGUAGGUGGCAAGCGUUGUCCGGAAUUACUGGGUGUAAAGGGAGCGCAGGCGGGAAGCCAAGUCAGCUGUGAAAACUACGGGCUUAACUUGUAGACUGCAGUUGAAACUGGUUUUCUUGAGUGAAGUAGAGGUUGGCGGAAUUCCGAGUGUAGCGGUGAAAUGCGUAGAUAUUCGGAGGAACACCGGUGGCGAAGGCGGCCAACUGGGCUUUAACUGACGCUGAGGCUCGAAAGUGUGGGGAGCAAACAGGAUUAGAUACCCUGGUAGC